CCUACGGGAGGCAGCAGUGGGGAAUAUUGCACAAUGGGGGAAACCUUGAUGGAGCAACGCCGCGUGAGUGAAGAAGGUUUUCGGAUUGUAAAGCUCUGUUAGAAGGGAAGAGGAAGGACGGUACGUGCAGAGGAAGACACGGCUAACUACGUGCAAGCAGCCGCGGCAAAACGUAGGUUGCAAGCGUUGUUCGGAAUAACUGGGCGUAAAGGAUGCGUAGGCGGUUAAACAAGUUAUAUGUUAAAUAGAUGGGGUUAACUUGUAGAAAGCAUAUAAUACUGUGUAACUAGAGUGAAGGAGAGGUAAGUGGAAUUCCAAGUGAAGCGGUGAAAUGCGUAGAGAUUAGGAAGAACACCAGAGGCGAAGGCGGCUUACUGGGCUUUUACUGACGCUGAGGCAUGAGAGCAUGGGGAGCAAACAGGAUUAGAUACCCGAGUAGUC
This 441-nucleotide ribosomal RNA is filed under the name uncultured bacterium. RNAcentral's name for it is "partial 16S ribosomal RNA". It matches the Rfam family "Bacterial small subunit ribosomal RNA", at positions 338 to 795 of the family's 1533-position model. The record is from RNAcentral.